GACGAACGCUGGCGGCGUGCUUAACACAUGCAAGUCGAACGGUAAGGCCCUUCGGGGUACACGAGUGGCGAACGGGUGAGUAACACGUGGGUGAUCCGCCCUGCACUUCGGGAUAAGCCUGGGAAACUGGGUCUAAUACCGGAUAGGACUCCUGGCUUCAUGGUUGGGGGUGGAAAGCUUUUGCGGUGUGGGAUGGGCCCGCGGCCUAUCAGCUUGUUGGUGGGGUAAUGGCCUACCAAGGCGACGACGGGUAGCCGGCCUGAGAGGGUGACCGGUCACACUGGGACUGGGAUACGGCCCAGACUCCUACGGGAGGCAGCAGUGGGGAAUAUUGCACAAUGGGCGCAAGCCUGAUUCAGCGACGCCGCGUGAGGGAUGACGGCCUUCGGGUUGUAAACCUCUUUCAGCUAUGACGAAGCGCAAGUGACGGUAGUAGCAGAAGAAGGACCGGCCAACUACGUGCCAGCAGCCGCCGUAA
RNAcentral lists this ribosomal RNA (478 nucleotides) under uncultured bacterium. Its description in RNAcentral is "partial 16S ribosomal RNA". It matches the Rfam family "Bacterial small subunit ribosomal RNA", at positions 28 to 523 of the family's 1533-position model. The record is from RNAcentral.